CUCCUACGGGAGGCAGCAGUGGGGAAUAUUGCACAAUGGGCGAAAGCCUGAUGCAGCCAUACCGCGUGGGUGAAGAAGGCCUUAGGGUUGUAAAGCCCUUUCGGCGAGGAAGAAAGGUUGGAGGUUAAUACCGUGCAACUGUGACGUUACUCGCAGAAGAAGCACCGGCUAACUCCGUGCCAGCAGCCGCGGUAAU
Molecule: ribosomal RNA, 196 nt
Filed under: uncultured Gammaproteobacteria bacterium
Lineage: Bacteria; Pseudomonadati; Pseudomonadota; Gammaproteobacteria
Description: partial 16S ribosomal RNA
Rfam family: Bacterial small subunit ribosomal RNA
Source: RNAcentral